Molecule: small RNA, 117 nt
Filed under: Marmota monax (woodchuck)
Lineage: Eukaryota; Metazoa; Chordata; Mammalia; Rodentia; Sciuridae
Source: RNAcentral
GCCAGGCAUGGUGGCAUGUACCUGUAGCCUCAGCUACUUAUGAGGCUGAGGCAAGAGGAUCAUUUGAGCCUAGGAGUUCAAGACCAGCCUGGGCAACAUGGUGAGAUCCUGUCUUAA